UUUGCCAGGGAACGUGUGGACUCAGUCUGUGAAGCAUUUGACACUGACAAGUCAAAGGAAAAACCUUGUAGACGAUGGGGCUGGGGCCCAUGAACAGAGGAUUUUAAGUAUUUCAGGACUUGAAAACCUUUCCUAUCAGUAGAAGGGAAGAGGAGAGGGGGAGGAGGGAGGAAGUUUACUACUAUAUAUUCCUUCAGGUUUCCUGUAUUUGAUACUAAAAAUGACAUUAACUUUUUUUUUUUUUUUUUUUUUUUUUUUAGUUAAUUAAACUGCUCAUUGGCUGAACACAGGGCAGGCUUCAUUUGAGAGCUAGAAAUUAUCAAAACAUUCUCUUUGUCAUUUAGGUAAACUUCCCUAAAACAUAUACUUAUUUUUCUAUAAGCCAUAUUUGGGGAAUAAAGUAAACCGAAAAAUUGGGAUGAGAGAGAGAGAGGUCUUAAAUCUCUGGAUCAUUGUUGGCUUUCACAAAACAAAUUAGACAUUUUCAUCUUAUUGCCAUAGAAACACAACACUACCUCAGAAAGCCAAGCUGCUUUAACAAUAAAUAAAUAAAUACAUCCCAAACCCAAAAAUCAAUGUACAGUGUGGAUAAAAUAUAUUUAAGCAUCUUCAAAGGGGCCAAGUUGUAUAGUUGAGUCUCACAUGUCAUACUUUUGUAGAAUUUUUAUGAGUUUUUUAAUAAAUGCAUUAUGCAGUGCAUAAAGCACGUAUGUGUGUUUUAGUGCCUAAAUUCUAGUACAAGCUUGUUUGAGGGUUGCAGAGACCUUUUGAUUAGAAAUGUAUGACCCAGCGUUCUGCCUCCAGAAAUGAAACGCUGGGAAGAAAAUGUUAUAAUGUCAGCAACAUAAUAAAACAAAUUGUCAUGUAUUUUGUCCUUUGAUCUUGACAAAGUUACUGUUAGACAAUUUCCCUGCUCAUUAAAAAAAUUUGGUUAUUUCUUUU
Long non-coding RNA from Pipistrellus kuhlii (Kuhl's pipistrelle), 942 nucleotides. RefSeq lists it as uncharacterized. The record is from RefSeq and is a predicted model, not a curated record. The transcript is spliced from 2 exons. Lineage: Eukaryota; Metazoa; Chordata; Mammalia; Chiroptera; Vespertilionidae.